Long non-coding RNA from Cebus imitator (Panamanian white-faced capuchin), 1810 nucleotides. RefSeq lists it as uncharacterized. Lineage: Eukaryota; Metazoa; Chordata; Mammalia; Primates; Cebidae. The transcript is spliced from 3 exons. The record is from RefSeq and is a predicted model, not a curated record.
AGGGGCUUCCCCUUAUGAAACCAUCAGAUCUCAUGAGACUUAUUUACUCCCACAGGAACAGUAUGGGGAAGCCAUCCCCAUGAUUCAAUGAUCUCCCACUGGGUUCCUCCCCUAACACAUGGGAAUUGUGGGAGCUACAAUUCAAGAUGAGAUUUGGGUGGGGACGCAGCCAAGCCGUAUCACAUCAGUAAAGAGGAAAUGGAUCACUUGCAUCCAAUCAUCUGUAACUAGCAACAUUGAACAUGCAUAUUACAAAAAAAACUUGAAGCCCAGAUUAUGUUAACUCACUUCAAUGAACAUCUCCAAAAUAUCUAGAAAUCAAAUCUGGAUUCCUACUGGCCAUAAGAGUUCAUUCAAGCCUUUAUCUUCUCUAAGCCUUAAUUUGUCUACAUGAAAAAUGGGUUAAUAUGUAUGCCACAGAAAUUUUAUGAGAAACAAAUUUGGUUUUGUAAAUAACAGGCAUUUAGCUUCUUUGCUACUGAGGCAUAGUUCACUAUUAAUUGACAUGUAUUUGUUUUGUGAUAGUAUCUCUGAAAAUGUUGAAAUUCCUUUGGGUACUUAUGAAACACAGUCAUCACAUAGCAGUAACUGGACAUAGAUACAUAAAAGCAGGCCAGAAUUUUUAUUUUCAAAUAUAAAAUUUCUUUUGUGGUUUCAAUCUGGAGAUUUAGAGAACUUUUAAGAUCUCUUUGAAAUAUUCCUCAGACUUGUUUGUGAGUGUAGCAGUUAUGCUUGGUUGUCUCCAUUUCAAGGUCUUCUCAGAAGGCAGAGUGCAUAUUUGUCAACUACUAUGGGGUAAGUUCACCCUUUUCCCAAGUCUAGGUGAGUGGUGAUUGGUCUAAGCCAGUGACGAAGGUAAUAUUCACCUUGCCAAUGGAUUCUCUAGGUAAGUGAUCCACUUCUGGGCAAUAUAAUGUAAAAGGAGACUUUCUAGGGGGUUUCUAAGAAAUGUUUUCGUACUCCUAAGAAGACCCUGGAAUAUACAGCCCAUUUCCUGCCUUUGGACGUCCUUGGUCUGGAUGUGAUACCUGAAAGGGUUGCAAACAUCUCGUUGUCAGAGCUCUCAAUAAGGAAUGGGAAGAUGCGGUCAUGAAAAGGAUUCUGUUAGAAACGCUUUCCCAGUGCAGAUGUGCAGUAACCCCACCAGGGUGACCUUCCCAAGUCAGAAUCCACCAAGAAAAGAACACUGAGGUGAACCAUCAUGUUUAAUGAUGACAUCUGAGGACGAUGACUUCAUGUGACUCAUAAACUCAGUUAAUUUUGUUACUCUAUUUCUAAAAUACAGUGGGGAAUGUGUCAGGAAAGCUCUAGUAUCAUACCAGAGGCCAGAGGUUCAAAAGUUCAGUCAAAAUCAAAAAGAUAUUUUUCUUUAAUAAUAAAAAAGAUCGUGUCAAGAUAGAUUCAAAAACCAUCAAGAAACAUGUCUUGAUGUCAAGAAACGUCUAUUAAUACAAAAGAACUUUGAGGAAUAUAAAGAAUGUAGGGGUUCGGGAUGGAAAAGAACAUUUGCAUGCUCCAGAGAUGCAGGAGAAAUUGAAGAUGCUUCAUCCACAUAAAAUAUGACCCUCUGAGUCCUGCCAAGGUCAAUGAGACCCAGAGCAAUCAGCUCAAUAUAAAAUUGGGGGUCACUUAUUUACAUUGUGGAAAAAUCUUAGGAACAUCUGUUCAAGGACUUUGGCUUUUAGAGAAGCAUGAAAUGGAGGAAGGACAAACUAAUGCACUUGCGUCUAAAACCACUCCACUCAUUUCAACUUCAGGUCACUGAUUAUAAAGAAAAUAGCUGUAUCUAUUCACAGACCUCAACAAGAAA